Molecule: transfer RNA, 76 nt
Filed under: Deltaproteobacteria bacterium
Lineage: Bacteria; Pseudomonadati; Myxococcota; Myxococcia
Description: tRNA-Gly
Rfam family: tRNA
About the family: Transfer RNA (tRNA) molecules are approximately 80 nucleotides in length. Their secondary structure includes four short double-helical elements and three loops (D, anti-codon, and T loops). Further hydrogen bonds mediate the characteristic L-shaped molecular structure. tRNAs have two regions of fundamental functional importance: the anti-codon, which is responsible for specific mRNA codon recognition, and the 3' end, to which the tRNAs corresponding amino acid is attached (by aminoacyl-tRNA synthetases). tRNAs cope with the degeneracy of the genetic code in two manners: having more than one tRNA (with a specific anti-codon) for a particular amino acid; and 'wobble' base-pairing, i.e. permitting non-standard base-pairing at the 3rd anti-codon position.
Source: RNAcentral
GCGAACGUAGCUCAGUUGGUAGAGCAUCUGGUUCCCAACCAGAAGGUCGCCGGUUCAAGCCCGGUCGUUCGCUCCA